RNAcentral lists this ribosomal RNA (755 nucleotides) under uncultured low G+C Gram-positive bacterium. RNAcentral's name for it is "bacterial SSU rRNA". It matches the Rfam family "Bacterial small subunit ribosomal RNA", at positions 36 to 797 of the family's 1533-position model. The record is from RNAcentral. Lineage: Bacteria; Bacillati; Bacillota.
CUUGGCGGCGUCCUACACAUGCAAGUCUNCCGAGGAGAUAGCAGUGAUUUAUCACAGCUUGAACCUAGCGGCGGACGGGUGAGUAACGCGUGAGCAACCUACCUGUUAGAGGGGGAUAACACAUCGAAAGGUGUGCUAAUACCGCAUAAUAUACUUGAAUCACAUGAAACAAGUAUCAAAGGAGCAAUCCGCUAACAGAUGGGCUCGCGUCCCAUUAGCUAGUUGGUAAGGUAAAAGCCUACCAAGGCAACGAUGGGUAGCCGGCCUGAGAGGGUGAACGGCCACAUUGGGACUGAGACACGGCCCAGACUCCUACGGGAGGCAGCAGUGGGGGAUAUUGCGCAAUGGGGGAAACCCUGACGCAGCAACGUCGCGUGAAGGAAGAAGGCUUUCGGGUCGUAAACUUUUGUCUUCUGGGAAGAAAGAAAUGACGGUACCAGAGGAGGAAGCCACGGCUAACUACGUGCCAGCAGCCGCGGUAAUACGUAGGUGGCGAGCGUUGUCCGGAUUUACUGGGUGUAAAGGGUGCGUAGGCGGGUAUGCAAGUCAGAUGUGAAAGACCGAGGCUCAACUUCGGGGUUGCAUUUGAAACUGUAUAUCUUGAGUGCAGGAGAGGAAAGCGGAAUUCCUAGUGUAGCGGUGAAAUGCGUAGAUAUUAGGAAGAACACCAGUGGCGAAGGCGGCUUUCUGGCCUGUAACUGACGCUGANGCACGAAAGCGUGGGGAGCAACAGGAUUAGAUACCCUGGUAGUCCC